Molecule: ribosomal RNA, 253 nt
Filed under: uncultured bacterium
Lineage: Bacteria
Description: partial 16S ribosomal RNA
Rfam family: Bacterial small subunit ribosomal RNA
Source: RNAcentral
UACAGAGGUCUCAAGCGUUGUUCGGAUUCAUUGGGCGUAAAGGGUGCGUAGGUGGUGCUGUAAGUCGGGUGUGAAAUUUCGGAGCUUAACUCCGAAACUGCAUUCGAUACUGCGGUGCUUGAGGACUGGAGAGGAGACUGGAAUUCAUGGUGUAGCAGUGAAAUGCGUAGAGAUCAUGAGGAAGACCAGUGGCGAAGGCGGGUCUCUGGACAGUUCCUGACACUGAGGCACGAAGGCGAGGGGAGCAAACGGG